RNAcentral lists this long non-coding RNA (489 nucleotides) under Vombatus ursinus (common wombat). RNAcentral describes it as "lncRNA (ENSVURG00010022107.1)". Lineage: Eukaryota; Metazoa; Chordata; Mammalia; Diprotodontia; Vombatidae. The record is from RNAcentral.
CCCCACAGAGGUAGAAAUCACAGUCUCAGAGAGAGGCGGGCCAGAUUCCAGAUUAGAUAUGUGUCCAUGUAACACGUGAGCCUAGCCAUUCUUAUAUUUAGAUAGCAACCACACAUAAAGUCUACACAGACAAAGGAUAAGAUGGACAAGAUGUUCUUGCUGGGCCUUUCUCUAUUCUGCCUUUUGCGAGGUGGGGAGCCAAAGUUCCGUAGAAAGGGAAUGGAAGUUGUGUGUGCUACCUGUGAUAAAUUUAGAAAAGGUACCUGUUCGCUAAAUGAAGGCACCUGUGUUACGAAGGCAAAGAAUGGAUGCAGAAGCCAGUCUUUCUAUUCAUACUCUGACGAUAUUAAAGGGUGGGCCUAUACUCAUUCUAAACUGGAAUGUGUUGACAAAUGCGGAGAGCCUAUAGUCUUCCUGGCUUGGUUUCGUUUGGUGAACAUUUGCUGUUCAGAUAAAAACCUAUGCAAUAUAGGAUAUGCGCUGGCAUGA